CCAAUAGCGUAUAUUAAAGUUGUUGCAGUUAAAAAGCUCGUAGUUGAAUUUCGGGAUCUGUCCAUUGGUCGGGCCUCACGGUCCGUACUGGUGUGAUGGGUUCCUACCUUCUGAAUAACCAGCAUGCCAUUUAGUUGGUGCGUUGGGGAAGCAGAGCUAUUACCUUGAAAAAAUUAGAGUGCUUAAAGCAGGCUAGUGCUUGAAUAGAUUAGCAUGGAAUAAUAAAAUAGGACGGCAUGGUUCUAUUUUGUUGGUUUCUAGGAUCACCGUAAUGAUUAAUAGGGAUAGUUGGGGGCAUUAGUAUUCAAUUGUCAGAGGUGAAAUUCUUGGAUUUAUUGAAGACUAACUUCUGCGAAAGCAUUUGCCAAGGAUGUUUUCAUUAAUCAAGAACGAAAGUUAGGGGAUCGAAGACGAUCAGAUACCGUCGUAGUCUUAACCAUAAACUAUGCCGACUAGGGAUCGGACGAUGUUAAUUUUUUAAUGACUCGUUCGGCGCCUUACG
RNAcentral lists this ribosomal RNA (502 nucleotides) under uncultured Glomeromycotina. RNAcentral describes it as "partial small subunit ribosomal RNA". It matches the Rfam family "Eukaryotic small subunit ribosomal RNA", at positions 591 to 1092 of the family's 1831-position model. Lineage: Eukaryota; Fungi; Glomeromycota. The record is from RNAcentral.